GGGGUCUUAGCUCAGCUGGGAGAGCGCCUGCCUUGCACGCAGGAGGUCAGGAGUUCGAUCCUCCUAGGCUCCACCA
RNAcentral lists this transfer RNA (76 nucleotides) under Acholeplasma sp. OttesenSCG-928-E16. Its description in RNAcentral is "tRNA-Ala". It matches the Rfam family "tRNA". From Rfam's summary of the family: Transfer RNA (tRNA) molecules are approximately 80 nucleotides in length. The record is from RNAcentral. Lineage: Bacteria; Bacillati; Mycoplasmatota; Mollicutes; Acholeplasmatales; Acholeplasmataceae.